RNAcentral lists this ribosomal RNA (490 nucleotides) under uncultured bacterium. RNAcentral's name for it is "partial 16S ribosomal RNA". It matches the Rfam family "Bacterial small subunit ribosomal RNA", at positions 30 to 507 of the family's 1533-position model. The record is from RNAcentral.
AUUGAACGCUGGCGGCAGGCCUAACACAUGCAAGUCGAAUGGUAACAGGAAACAGCUUGCUUUUUCGCUGACGAGUGGCGGACGGGUGAGUAAUGUCUGGGAAACUGCCUGAUGUAGGGGGAUAACUACUGGAAACGGUAGCUAAUACCGCAUAACGUCCCAAGACCAAAGAGGGGGACCUUCUCGCCCCUUGCCAUCAGAUGUGCCCAGAUGGGAUUAGCUAGUAGGUGGGGUAACGGCUCACCUAGGCGACGAUCCCUAGCUGGUCUGAGAGGAUGACCAGCCACACUGGAACUGAGACACGGUCCAGACUCCUACGGGAGGCAGCAGUGGGGAAUAUUGGACAAUGGGCGCAAGCCUGAUGCAGCCAUGCCGCGUGUAUGAAGAAGGCCUUCGGGUUGUAAAGUACUUUCAGCGGGGAGGAAGGGAAGAAAGUUAAUACCUUUGCGUAUUGACGUUACCCGAAGAAGAAGCACCGGCUAACUCCGUG